AGUGGAUGCCUCUACACUUAUAAAUGGGACGUUUAAUACACGAAAAGACGUUUUGUAAUAUAAACGUAUUUCCCAAGGGAAACCCAUAAGUAAAAAAUCUGUGAGUAUCAACUUUUAUCAGCAGGAAUAAAAACCAAAAGGGAGACCAAUAGUAGCGGAGAGCGAAAUUGGUAUAUGUUUGUCUUUGUAAUAAUAUAACCAAGGGGUUAAUAUUGAACUUUUAAAAAUAAUUAGGUAUUUUUUUUAAAACGUAUUAAUCUACUCUUCUUAUUGUGACAAGAGUAGACAUAUGAAUAGUUGCCAAAGAAGGUGAAAGCCCUGUAAAAAAAAGAUCUGUAUCUAUAAAGAAAUAAUUAAUAUUUCAAUAGAAAAAAAAAGGUAGAUGGUCGCUAUUAUUAAUGCGUCCAUAAUCAAGAGGUACCACCCUCUAAACUUUAAUUAUAAGUGAUAGAUAGUGUACUAGUACGGUGACGGAAAGGUGAAAAGAGCAACAUUUGUUGUAGUGAAAUAGAUCCUGAAACCCUAUGCUACCAAACAGUUGAUGGCUUAAUAUACAUACGUAGUCUCAGCGUGCCUUUUGCAACAUGAGAGAAUAAGUCUUCAAAUAUAGCAGCUUAAGCCGAUAGGUGUAGGCA
Molecule: ribosomal RNA, 635 nt
Rfam family: Bacterial large subunit ribosomal RNA